RNAcentral lists this ribosomal RNA (228 nucleotides) under uncultured Lactobacillus sp. RNAcentral's name for it is "partial 16S ribosomal RNA". It matches the Rfam family "Bacterial small subunit ribosomal RNA", at positions 134 to 354 of the family's 1533-position model. The record is from RNAcentral. Lineage: Bacteria; Bacillati; Bacillota; Bacilli; Lactobacillales; Lactobacillaceae.
UAGUCUGGGAUACCACUUGGAAACAGGUGCUAAUACCGGAUAGAAAGCGGAUCGCAUGAUCAGCUUUUAAAAGGCGGCGUAAGCUGUCGCUAUGGGAUGGCCCCGCGGUGCAUUAGCUAGUUGGUAAGGUAAAGGCUUACCAAGGCGAUGAUGCAUAGCCGAGUUGAGAGACUGAUCGGCCACAUUGGGACUGAGACACGGCCCAAACUCCUACGGGAGGCAGCAGAC